GGUGGCUCAGUGGUAGAGCACUUGCCUUGCAUGUAUGAGGCCCUGGUUCGAUUCCCCAAGCACCA
Dipodomys ordii (Ord's kangaroo rat) is the source of this 65-nucleotide non-coding RNA. NCBI's taxonomy places the organism in Eukaryota, Metazoa, Chordata, Mammalia, Rodentia, Heteromyidae. The record is from Rfam.